UGGGGAAUUUUGGACAAUGGGCGCAAGCCUGAUCCAGCAAUGCCGCGUGCAGGAUGAAGGCCUUCGGGUUGUAAACUGCUUUUGUACGGAACGAAAAAGCUCUCUCUAAUACAGGGGGUGAAUGACGGUACCGUAAGAAUAAGCACCGGCUAACUACGUGCCAGCAGCCGCGGUAAUACGUAGGGUGCAAGCGUUAAUCGGAAUUACUGGGCGUAAAGCGUGCGCAGGCGGUUUUGUAAGACAGAGGUGAAAUCCCCGGGCUUAACCUGGGAACUGCCUUUGUGACUGCAAAGCUGGAGUGCGGCAGAGGGGGAUGGAAUUCCGCGUGUAGCAGUGAAAUGCGUAGAUAUGCGGAGGAAUACCGAUGGCGAAGGCAAUCCCCUGGGCCUGCACUGACGCUCAUGCACGAAAGCGUGGGGAGCAAACA
RNAcentral lists this ribosomal RNA (427 nucleotides) under uncultured bacterium. RNAcentral's name for it is "bacterial SSU rRNA". It matches the Rfam family "Bacterial small subunit ribosomal RNA", at positions 355 to 774 of the family's 1533-position model. The record is from RNAcentral.